GUCUAUGGCCAGUGCACCCUGAAAAAGCCUGAUCUCUGAUCUUGAAAGCCAAGCAGGGUCAGUUCUGGUUAGUACUUGGAUGGGUGUUGUUUAUGCCUACAACACCUAGGAAGACCAGGUGUUGUAGGCA
RNAcentral lists this ribosomal RNA (130 nucleotides) under Pteropus alecto (black flying fox). Lineage: Eukaryota; Metazoa; Chordata; Mammalia; Chiroptera; Pteropodidae. The record is from RNAcentral.